Myotis davidii is the source of this 1412-nucleotide long non-coding RNA. RefSeq lists it as uncharacterized. The transcript is spliced from 2 exons. NCBI's taxonomy places the organism in Eukaryota, Metazoa, Chordata, Mammalia, Chiroptera, Vespertilionidae. The record is from RefSeq and is a predicted model, not a curated record.
UAUAUGGGGGAUAAAUGGUGAUGGAAAUAGCAUAAUAAAGGGGAAGAAUAAAUGUAUAUAAGGAAUUCAAUAAUUUUAAGUGAGCAAUUCAAUCAGGUGUAAAAGUAUUUUUUGCUUAAGUGCAGCAGCAUAAGGUCUAUGUGAUUAUUUUUAUUUGUAAAAGUUCUGAUUGGCUACUGCAAAGGCAAUCUUAGGAGAUAAACAUACAAGUGUAAUAAAAUCAAUUCCCCUAUCAAUUAAAUAUUAAUUUUUCCAUUCACAUCUCUUAGUUUUUACUGUAUUGAGUUAUAGCAACCAAAAAGUAAUGUAAGUUACUACUGCUUUGUAAUUGGUUAAUAUUCCAUCAGUUAUAGUUACUUAAGAGCUUUAAAAUUUUUUGUUUCUAUGGUUCUUCAGCUAGACACUUGCACAUAAAAACAUUCAGAGGGGUUCCUUCUUAAAACACUACUUUUAAUUUCCAUUAACGUGUUGCACCGUUAGAAUUUGUCUUGCAUAGGUAAACUCUUUAUAACCAGGACACUUAUAAUCCAAGAUAUUAACAUUCUUCAUACAGGGAGGAACAAGCACUACUUAAGGUUAAAAAGAACAGAAUCCUGUCCUAACUCUGUAUCAUCAUUAAAUGGAUUUGGAUAUAUUCUAGAUCAAACCACAUCCCCUAAAGUUUUAUCACACACCAUAAAGCCUGACAUACGGGUUGUUGUUCUUAUUCCUCAUACUGGCACCGAUAAUCCCCUGGGCACGUAAUCCAUGAAGAUAGACACAGACUAACAUCAAACCAAGUACUUUUCAAUGAUAUUCUAAGGUCAUGUCUAAAAGAUGCAUUUCCAGUGAGGGUGGACACAAAUCCUUGUGUGAAAAAUGUUCUUUAAAAAGAUGGGCAUGGUGCCAAAGAAACUUUUGUUUCAGCAGAAAAUACCGGUUUAAAAUAAAUGCUGCAAAGAAAUAGUUUAUCAACAGAAUGAGUGCUUAUUUAAUCAAUUAAGCUGCACGUCAGUGUAUUGUUGGUUUGCUGGAACACAUGCUGGUGGGUACAAACAUGUCCCAAGUCGCAUACCCAUCAGAUACAAAGGAACUGGGAACACUUAGGAUGAGGGGUCAAUGCGCUAUCUGGUGACACGUGUGCCUGAGUCUUUCCCACAUCGUCAAACUGUGGAGCCACUUCUAAAGCACUGAAUCUUCAAGCCAAGAGUCUCAGAUCUACACGUUACACCUUGAUAAAAUGCUGCCCUUCAGGAAAACUCUGGAAACUGCACAGUCUGGGAUGGGACUCAAUGAAAAAUUAUUCAUGAAACUUCCACAAUGUGCCUCGUCUUUGAAGUUAGCUAAUGAGCCCACAUGUUACUCUUGAGAUGCCCAAUUUUACACUUUCACGGUAAAAAGAUUUCAUAAAAGACACAGACUUUAACAGAAAA